ACCUGGCUGGCUCAGUGGGUAGAGCUUGUGACUCUUGAUCUUGGGGUUGUGAGUUUGAGCCCCACAUCGGGUG
This 73-nucleotide transfer RNA is filed under the name Felis catus (domestic cat). It matches the Rfam family "tRNA". From Rfam's summary of the family: Transfer RNA (tRNA) molecules are approximately 80 nucleotides in length. Their secondary structure includes four short double-helical elements and three loops (D, anti-codon, and T loops). Further hydrogen bonds mediate the characteristic L-shaped molecular structure. tRNAs have two regions of fundamental functional importance: the anti-codon, which is responsible for specific mRNA codon recognition, and the 3' end, to which the tRNAs corresponding amino acid is attached (by aminoacyl-tRNA synthetases). tRNAs cope with the degeneracy of the genetic code in two manners: having more than one tRNA (with a specific anti-codon) for a particular amino acid; and 'wobble' base-pairing, i.e. permitting non-standard base-pairing at the 3rd anti-codon position. Lineage: Eukaryota; Metazoa; Chordata; Mammalia; Carnivora; Felidae. The record is from Rfam by way of RNAcentral.